Molecule: non-coding RNA, 30 nt
Filed under: Homo sapiens (human)
Lineage: Eukaryota; Metazoa; Chordata; Mammalia; Primates; Hominidae
Source: RNAcentral
CGGAAAUUGUGACCGCUUCAGAGGCAAGGC